AAUCUUUUGCGUAUCUGUGUCUGCACGAGUGCAUGGCAUGGACCGUUAGGUUGAAUAUUCGAAUCUUGGCCGUUAAUACCGUUAUGUUGUAAUAAAUAUUCAAAUAUUUAUUUAUCAAAUUUUUAAUUGAUAAUAUGGUUUUUCUUUUAAUCUCAUUUUAAGAAAGAGGAUUCGUAAAAUGUUUAAGAGUACUUCUUUUUUGGGUGAGCUACUUCUGGAGACUUAAUGCUGCCCCUUCUUUUAAUUUUCUCUAUGAUAUUCUGAAAAUUAUUGUUAGAUUUUUCUUUCAGAGGCUUGUUUUGCACAAAAAAUUAAUUGAUAUAUAUAUAUGCCCAAUUCCAGCGAGAAUCUCUCUCAUUUAUGACAUGACACUCUUUUUAUAAGCUCAUCUUUUACACGUAGCAAAUGUAACCUGAAUAUCAUUUGUUUUAUAUAUGACUUGCAUUCUUAGAUAUAUAUAUAUAUAUAUAUCUCCCCUCUCAGAGUCAUACUCUC
This 495-nucleotide long non-coding RNA is filed under the name Prunus persica (peach). RNAcentral describes it as "long non-coding RNA (PPER_LNC006333)". Lineage: Eukaryota; Viridiplantae; Streptophyta; Magnoliopsida; Rosales; Rosaceae. The record is from RNAcentral.